RNAcentral lists this ribosomal RNA (301 nucleotides) under uncultured bacterium. RNAcentral describes it as "partial 16S ribosomal RNA". It matches the Rfam family "Bacterial small subunit ribosomal RNA", at positions 509 to 807 of the family's 1533-position model. The record is from RNAcentral.
CAGUAGCCACGGGAAUACGUAGGUGGCAAGCGUUGUCCGGAAUUAUUGGGCGUAAAGGGCUCGCAGGCGGCUUCUUAAGUCUGAUGUGAAAGCCUCCGGCUCAACCGGGGAGGGUCAUUGGAAACUGGGAAACUUGAGUGCAGAAGAGGAGAGUGGAAUUCCACGUGUAGCGGUGAAAUGCGUAGAGAUGUGGAGGAACACCAGUGGCGAAGGCGACUCUCUGGUCUGUAACUGACGCUGAGGAGCGAAAGCGUGGGGAGCGAACAGGAUUAGAUACCCGUGUAGUCCCUGUCUCUUAUAC